UUAUCCUUUCCAAUUCCAAAG
RNAcentral lists this non-coding RNA (21 nucleotides) under Caenorhabditis elegans. The record is from RNAcentral. Lineage: Eukaryota; Metazoa; Nematoda; Chromadorea; Rhabditida; Rhabditidae.